Molecule: non-coding RNA, 74 nt
Organism: Candidatus Staskawiczbacteria bacterium
Lineage: Bacteria; Candidatus Staskawicziibacteriota
Source: Rfam
GUCGGCGUAGCUCAAUUGGAUAGAGCAUCAGUCUUCGGAACUGAGGGUUGAGGGUUCGAAUCCCUCCGCCGAUA